This 442-nucleotide ribosomal RNA is filed under the name uncultured bacterium. RNAcentral's name for it is "partial 16S ribosomal RNA". It matches the Rfam family "Bacterial small subunit ribosomal RNA", at positions 338 to 795 of the family's 1533-position model. The record is from RNAcentral.
CCUACGGGCGGCAGCAGUGGGGAAUAUUGGGCAAUGGGCGCAAGCCUGACCCAGCAACGCCGCGUGAAGGAAGAAGGCUUUCGGGUUGUAAACUUCUUUUAAGAGGGAAGAGCAGAAGACGGUACCUGACGAAUAAGCCACGGCUAACUACGUGCCAGCAGCCGCGGUAAUACGUAGGUGGCAAGCGUUAUCCGGAUUUACUGGGUGUAAAGGGCGUGUAGGCGGGACUGCAAGUCAGAUGUGAAAACCACGGGCUCAACCGGUGGCCUGCAUUUGGAACUGUAGUUCUUGAGUACUGGAGAGGCAGACGGAAUUCCUAGUGUAGCGGUGAAAUGCGUAGAUAUUAGGAGGAACACCAGUGGCGAAGGCGGUCUGCUGGACAGCAACUGACGCUGAGGCGCGAAAGCGUGGGGAGCAAACAGGAUUAGAUACCCGAGUAGUC